AACGAACGCUGGCGGCAUGCCUAACACAUGCAAGUCGAACGAAGCCUUCGGGCUUAGUGGCGCACGGGUGCGUAACGCGUGGGAAUCUGCCCCUCGGUUCGGAAUAACUCAGGGGAACUUGAGCUAAUACCGGAUGAUGACGAAAGUCCAAAGAUUUAUCACCGAGGGAUGAGCCCGCGUAGGAUUAGCUAGUUGGUGGG
RNAcentral lists this ribosomal RNA (200 nucleotides) under uncultured bacterium. Its description in RNAcentral is "partial 16S ribosomal RNA". It matches the Rfam family "Bacterial small subunit ribosomal RNA", at positions 29 to 256 of the family's 1533-position model. The record is from RNAcentral.